This 253-nucleotide ribosomal RNA is filed under the name uncultured bacterium. Its description in RNAcentral is "partial 16S ribosomal RNA". It matches the Rfam family "Bacterial small subunit ribosomal RNA", at positions 524 to 776 of the family's 1533-position model. The record is from RNAcentral.
UACAGAGACUGCAAGCGUUACUCGGAUUCACUGGGCGUAAAGGGAGCGCAGGCGGACCGAUGUGUCGGAUGUGAAACCCCAGGGCUCAACCCUGGGACUGCGUCCGAAACUGUCGGUCUAGGGACUCGGAGGGGCUAGUGGAAUUCCUGGUGGAGCAGUGAAAUGCGUAGAUAUCAGGAGGAACACCAACGGCGAAGGCAGCUAGCUGGACGAGAUCCGACGCUCAGGCUCGAAAGUAUGGGGAGCAAAAAGG